RNAcentral lists this ribosomal RNA (406 nucleotides) under uncultured bacterium. Its description in RNAcentral is "partial 16S ribosomal RNA". It matches the Rfam family "Bacterial small subunit ribosomal RNA", at positions 28 to 526 of the family's 1533-position model. The record is from RNAcentral.
GAUGAACGCUAGCUACAGGCUUAACACAUGCAAGUCGAGGGACCGGCGCACGGGUGAGUAACACGUAUCCAACCUGCCCUUUACUCGGGGAUAGCCUUUCGAAAGAAAGAAUAAUACCCGAUAUAAAGGAUGGGGAUGCGUUCCAUUAGGUGGUUGGUAAGGUAACGGCUCACCACGCCUUCGAUGGAUAGGGGUUCUGAGAGGAAGGCCCACCAGAUGGGAACUGAGACCCGGUCCAAACUCCUAGGGGAGGUAGCAGUGAGGUAUAUUGGUCAAUGGGCGCUAGCCUGACCCAGCCAAGUAGCGUGAAGGAGGAAGGCUUAUGGGUCGUAAACUUCUUUUAUAUAAGAAUAGGUAUUAUAUGAAGAAGGACCGGCUAACUCCGUGCCAGCAGCCGCGGUAAUAC